RNAcentral lists this ribosomal RNA (497 nucleotides) under uncultured bacterium. Its description in RNAcentral is "partial 16S ribosomal RNA". It matches the Rfam family "Bacterial small subunit ribosomal RNA", at positions 28 to 507 of the family's 1533-position model. The record is from RNAcentral.
GAUGAACGCUGGCGGCGUGCCUAAUACAUGCAAGUCGAGCGAACAGACGAGGAGCUUGCUCCUUUGACGUUAGCGGCGGACGGGUGAGUAACACGUGGGUAACCUACCUAUAAGACUGGGAUAACUUCGGGAAACCGGAGCUAAUACCGGAUAAUAUUUCGAACCGCAUGGUUCGAUAGUGAAAGAUGGCUUUGCUAUCACUUAUAGAUGGACCUGCGCCGUAUUAGCUAGUUGGUAAGGUAACGGCCUACCAAGGCAACGAUACGUAGCCGACCUGAGAGGGUGAUCGGCCACACUGGAACUGAGACACGGUCCAGACUCCUACGGGAGGCAGCAGUAGGGAAUCUUGCGCAAUGGGCGAAAGCCUGACGGAGCAACGCCGCGUGAGUGAUGAAGGUCUUCGGAUCGUAAAACUCUGUUAUUAGGGAAGAACAAACGUGUAAGUAACUGUGCACGUCUUGACGGUACCUAAUCAGAAAGCCACGGCUAACUACGUG